RNAcentral lists this ribosomal RNA (500 nucleotides) under uncultured bacterium. Its description in RNAcentral is "partial 16S ribosomal RNA". It matches the Rfam family "Bacterial small subunit ribosomal RNA", at positions 30 to 523 of the family's 1533-position model. The record is from RNAcentral.
AUUGAACGCUGGCGGCAUGCCUUACACAUGCAAGUCGAACGGUAACAGGGAGCUUGCUCCGCUGACGAGUGGCGAACGGGUGAGUAAUGCAUCGGAACGUACCCAGUAGUGGGGGAUAACGCAGCGAAAGCUGUGCUAAUACCGCCUACGCACUGAGGUGGAAAGCAGGGGCCCUUCGGGCCUUGUGCUAUUGGAGCGGCCGAUGUCAGAUUAGCUAGUUGGUGGGGUAAAAGCUCACCAAGGCGACGAUCAGUAGCUGGUCUGUGAGGAUGAGCAGCCACACUGGGACUGCGACACAGCCCAGACUCCGACGGGAGGCAGCAGUGGGGAAUUUUGGACAAUGGGGGCAACCCUGAUCCAGCCAUGCCGCGUGAGUGAAGAAGGCCUUCGGGUUGUAAAGCUCUUUCGGCCGGGAAGAAAUCGCCAUCUCUAACAUAGGUGGUGGAUGACGGUACCGGAAUAAGAAGCACCGGCUAACUACGUGCCAGCCGCCGCCGUAA